RNAcentral lists this non-coding RNA (75 nucleotides) under Algoriphagus alkaliphilus. Lineage: Bacteria; Pseudomonadati; Bacteroidota; Cytophagia; Cytophagales; Cyclobacteriaceae. The record is from RNAcentral.
AAGAGCCGUGUGAGUCGAGAGGUUCACGCACGGUUCUGUGAGAGGCUUGCGUUGAAAUGCGCUUGCCUACUUGAC